CAGACAUUUACAAACCAGGAAGACAAGCUGAUAAAAGGGCUCUUAGAACGCUCAGCCUUCAGUGGCAAGAAAUUUUGGUCUGAAGGCUAAGCCCUCACCGAGGCUUUUUCUGGGAGCCCCCACCCUCCAAGGAAAAGAAAAUUCUGAGGCUGCUUCCUUAACAAAUACCAUGAGCUGGAGCGUAGCCACUAGCAAGCGUCAUCAGCAUCUCUGGUCCUGGGUCUCAAGAGAACGAGAAAGGGCUAAGUCCAGAUUCUUUACUUUGAACCUCUCUUCGGGUUCAAGAGAGAGAAAGUCUUCCUCUCACACAGGCAACCUAUGGAAGCAUGGACAGAUUAUUAGAAGGCAGAGUGCUGCAGAACUGCUCCAGCAGAGUCGGAGACAUAUACCUGGUACCUCAGCUGUCUAGCCACUGAUUCAGAGUCCAAGUAACAGCAUGUGAUGGAGACCUCAAGUUUCAGUGGAAUCCACUAAAGUCCUGCUGCACUGAGGGACACAGGAGUUUCUAGAAUGUGAGCUCUUGGCAACUGCUGAGCUUGCUCCUACCCUUAUUAGGCAACUGCUAAAGAAAAACUCUGUGAGCCUUCAGUGCUCCAGCCAGGGAGGAGUUACCUCUGUCAGGUCAGGGUCAGUCAGUCACUAGGAGGGGAAAUCGUUCUGGGAUAGGUCCAUCCUGUCUCCAGCCUUUUCUAACCCAGGGGAUAAUAGGCUAGAAGGCUGAAGUUGCCUCCUUUCUUCCUGGGGCAAGAAAUCACAUUACUUCACUUGAUCACCCAGCCCUGCUUCCAGAUGCACCUGAGAUGCGUGCCACCCCACACCUCCUGAUGAGCAGUGCAAUGAGAUUCAUUAGCAAGUACCCCAAAUAAGAGACAACCACGUGACGUAGGUCACCAAAGCUCGACAGAAGCCUGAUUAGUCUUUCCUUCAGUUCUGUCCAAGGAAGCCCUUCCUCCUAGAUUCUCUCCUGGGGUUGUGAAGGAGUCCACUUCCAGACCAUCAGGGGAAGGGGGGUGACUCUGCCUAUGUAGGUGACAGAGAAGGACAUCUUUGCAGACAUGAAAGGAAUCCGCUCCCCCAAUUGUCCCAUGCCAUACCUAGGUGAGGCACAGGCAAUAAAGCAUGCUGGGAAAUGGGGAAAGGAGUCGGGGGUGGGGGGCUUGCACUUAGGCCUUCAGGUUGGUGCAGCAUUGCAGACAGACUGCCUGGAGUAAUAAAUGACAGGGAUCACUCUACCGGAGCAGCUUAGGAGAGCAGACCUUCACAUCCCACUCUGUUCUGUCCUUUUCUCUGGGCCAAGAGUUUUUGCUUUAGGGCAAGUUGUUAGUACCUGGGGACACUCCAGGAAUCACUGUCAAGCAUGAUGUGAGGGUGAUGGAGAAGAGCUCUCUGGGUAGGUAAGAAGGUUGACCCCGACUAUGGGAUGUAUCAGUCUGAAAUCUGAGAGCUGCUUCUUAGCUCCCCACCCCACUCCCCAUCGUUCCCCCCACAUCAGCAGCGCCGGUCCUCGGCUCUGAUGAGUGCCCCUCAUCCCAAAGGGGACUCCACUUUUUCUCACAGUCAGGAGCAGGGCAGGGAUGAAGAGAGGUGGGAAAGGAGGGGAAUACUAUUUUCUAGGUACGCGCUCUGCGAUAGAUGCUGCACUUGUCACUUUGUGUAAAAAUGAGAACGAUACCAAGUAUACAUAAUAUGAAUGAAAAUAUUACAUAGUCCCUAGUAAAGAGGCUGACAAG
This is a long non-coding RNA of Mastomys coucha (southern multimammate mouse), 1730 nucleotides long. RefSeq lists it as uncharacterized. The record is from RefSeq and is a predicted model, not a curated record. Lineage: Eukaryota; Metazoa; Chordata; Mammalia; Rodentia; Muridae. The transcript has 2 exons.